Molecule: ribosomal RNA, 500 nt
Filed under: uncultured Glomeromycotina
Lineage: Eukaryota; Fungi; Glomeromycota
Description: partial small subunit ribosomal RNA
Rfam family: Eukaryotic small subunit ribosomal RNA
Source: RNAcentral
CCAAUAGCGUAUAUUAAAGUUGUUGCAGUUAAAAAGCUCGUAGUUGAAUUUCGGGAUCAAUACGUCGGUCGUGCCUUCGGUACGCACUGGGGUCGUUGAUUCCUCCCUUCUGAUGAAACAUGAUGUCAUUAAUUUGGUGUUGUGGGGAGUCAGGACUGUUACUUUGAAAAAAUUAGAGUGUUUAAAGCAGGCAAACGCUUGAAUACAUUAGCAUGGAAUAAUGAAAUAGGACGUUCGAACCUAUUUUGUUGGUUUCUAGGUACAACGUAAUGAUUAAUAGGGAUAGUUGGGGGCAUUAGUAUUCAAUUGUCAGAGGUGAAAUUCUUGGAUUUAUUGAAGACUAACUACUGCGAAAGCAUUUGCCAAGGAUGUUUUCAUUAAUCAAGAACGAAAGUUAGGGGAUCGAAGACGAUCAGAUACCGUCGUAGUCUUAACCAUAAACUAUGCCGACUAGGGAUCGGAUGAAGUUAAUUUUAUAAUGACUCAUUCGGCGCCUUACG